RNAcentral lists this ribosomal RNA (2900 nucleotides) under Klebsiella quasivariicola. RNAcentral's name for it is "23S ribosomal RNA". It matches the Rfam family "Bacterial large subunit ribosomal RNA". Lineage: Bacteria; Pseudomonadati; Pseudomonadota; Gammaproteobacteria; Enterobacterales; Enterobacteriaceae. The record is from RNAcentral.
UUAAGCGACUAAGCGUACACGGUGGAUGCCCUGGCAGUCAGAGGCGAUGAAGGACGUGCUAAUCUGCGAAAAGCGUCGGUAAGGUGAUAUGAACCGUUAUAGCCGGCGAUGUCCGAAUGGGGAAACCCAGUGUGAUUCGUCACACUAUCGUUAACUGAAUACAUAGGUUAACGAGGCGAACCGGGGGAACUGAAACAUCUAAGUACCCCGAGGAAAAGAAAUCAACCGAGAUUCCCCCAGUAGCGGCGAGCGAACGGGGAGCAGCCCAGAGUCUGAAUCAGCUUGUGUGUUAGUGGAACGGUCUGGAAAGUCCGACGGUACAGGGUGAUAGUCCCGUACACCAAAAUGCACAGGCUGUGAACUCGAAGAGUAGGGCGGGACACGUGGUAUCCUGUCUGAAUAUGGGGGGACCAUCCUCCAAGGCUAAAUACUCCUGACUGACCGAUAGUGAACCAGUACCGUGAGGGAAAGGCGAAAAGAACCCCGGCGAGGGGAGUGAAAAAGAACCUGAAACCGUGUACGUACAAGCAGUGGGAGCCUCUUUAUGGGGUGACUGCGUACCUUUUGUAUAAUGGGUCAGCGACUUAUAUUCUGUAGCAAGGUUAACCGUAUAGGGGAGCCGCAGGGAAACCGAGUCUUAACUGGGCGUUAAGUUGCAGGGUAUAGACCCGAAACCCGGUGAUCUAGCCAUGGGCAGGUUGAAGGUUGGGUAACACUAACUGGAGGACCGAACCGACUAAUGUUGAAAAAUUAGCGGAUGACUUGUGGCUGGGGGUGAAAGGCCAAUCAAACCGGGAGAUAGCUGGUUCUCCCCGAAAGCUAUUUAGGUAGCGCCUCGUGAACUCAUCUUCGGGGGUAGAGCACUGUUUCGGCUAGGGGGUCAUCCCGACUUACCAACCCGAUGCAAACUACGAAUACCGAAGAAUGUUAUCACGGGAGACACACGGCGGGUGCUAACGUCCGUCGUGAAGAGGGAAACAACCCAGACCGCCAGCUAAGGUCCCAAAGUCAUGGUUAAGUGGGAAACGAUGUGGGAAGGCCCAGACAGCCAGGAUGUUGGCUUAGAAGCAGCCAUCAUUUAAAGAAAGCGUAAUAGCUCACUGGUCGAGUCGGCCUGCGCGGAAGAUGUAACGGGGCUAAACCAUGCACCGAAGCUGCGGCAGCGACACUAUGUGUUGUUGGGUAGGGGAGCGUUCUGUAAGCCUGCGAAGGUGACCUGUGAGGGUUGCUGGAGGUAUCAGAAGUGCGAAUGCUGACAUAAGUAACGAUAAAGCGGGUGAAAAGCCCGCUCGCCGGAAGACCAAGGGUUCCUGUCCAACGUUAAUCGGGGCAGGGUGAGUCGACCCCUAAGGCGAGGCCGAAAGGCGUAGUCGAUGGGAAACAGGUUAAUAUUCCUGUACUUGGUGUUACUGCGAAGGGGGGACGGAGAAGGCUAUGUCAUCCGGGCGACGGUUGUCCCGGUUUAAGCAUGUAGGCUGGUUAUCCAGGCAAAUCCGGAUAAUCAAGGCUGAGGUGUGAUGACGAGGUACCACGGUACUGAAGUGACAGAUGCCCUGCUUCCAGGAAAAGCCUCUAAGCAUCAGGUAACAUCAAAUCGUACCCCAAACCGACACAGGUGGUCAGGUAGAGAAUACCAAGGCGCUUGAGAGAACUCGGGUGAAGGAACUAGGCAAAAUGGUGCCGUAACUUCGGGAGAAGGCACGCUGGUGUGUAGGUGAAGUCCCUGCGGAUGGAGCUGAGACCAGUCGAAGAUACCAGCUGGCUGCAACUGUUUAUUAAAAACACAGCACUGUGCAAACACGAAAGUGGACGUAUACGGUGUGACGCCUGCCCGGUGCCGGAAGGUUAAUUGAUGGGGUUAUCCGUAAGGAGAAGCUCUUGAUCGAAGCCCCGGUAAACGGCGGCCGUAACUAUAACGGUCCUAAGGUAGCGAAAUUCCUUGUCGGGUAAGUUCCGACCUGCACGAAUGGCGUAAUGAUGGCCAGGCUGUCUCCACCCGAGACUCAGUGAAAUUGAACUCGCUGUGAAGAUGCAGUGUACCCGCGGCAAGACGGAAAGACCCCGUGAACCUUUACUAUAGCUUGACACUGAACAUUGAGCCUUGAUGUGUAGGAUAGGUGGGAGGCUUUGAAGCGUGGACGCCAGUCUGCGUGGAGCCAACCUUGAAAUACCACCCUUUAAUGUUUGAUGUUCUAACGUUGGCCCCUUAUCGGGGUUGCGGACAGUGUCUGGUGGGUAGUUUGACUGGGGCGGUCUCCUCCCAAAGCGUAACGGAGGAGCACGAAGGUUAGCUAAUCCUGGUCGGACAUCAGGAGGUUAGUGCAAUGGCAUAAGCUAGCUUGACUGCGAGCGUGACGGCGCGAGCAGGUGCGAAAGCAGGUCAUAGUGAUCCGGUGGUUCUGAAUGGAAGGGCCAUCGCUCAACGGAUAAAAGGUACUCCGGGGAUAACAGGCUGAUACCGCCCAAGAGUUCAUAUCGACGGCGGUGUUUGGCACCUCGAUGUCGGCUCAUCACAUCCUGGGGCUGAAGUAGGUCCCAAGGGUAUGGCUGUUCGCCAUUUAAAGUGGUACGCGAGCUGGGUUUAGAACGUCGUGAGACAGUUCGGUCCCUAUCUGCCGUGGGCGCUGGAGAAUUGAGGGGGGCUGCUCCUAGUACGAGAGGACCGGAGUGGACGCAUCACUGGUGUUCGGGUUGUCAUGCCAAUGGCACUGCCCGGUAGCUAAAUGCGGAAGAGAUAAGUGCUGAAAGCAUCUAAGCACGAAACUUGCCCCGAGAUGAGUUCUCCCUGAGACUUUAAGUCUCCUGAAGGAACGUUGAAGACGACGACGUUGAUAGGCCGGGUGUGUAAGCGCAGCGAUGCGUUGAGCUAACCGGUACUAAUGAACCGUGAGGCUUAACCU